UGGCUCGCCCCUGGUUCUCUGUUCUCUCUCUCCUCCCAACCUCUGUCUCCUUCUUGUCUUCAGACCCUUGUCUUAUCUACAAGUUCAGCCACUAGGGGUCGUGGAUACCCUAGAGGGUCAGUGGGAUCAGUUCUCGCUGGCACCUUGGACAAUCAAGGAGUGUGGGCUGGCUCCCAUUCCACUCUUCCUGAUUUCCUCCCCCUCUUCCUACUUUCACUUCCUUUUCUCCUUGCCUUACUCUAAAAUUUCCUUACUCUCCUACUCUAAAAUUUCCUUACUCUCCUAUGUCUAUCUUCCUUCUUCCUUAUCCCUUCCCUCUUUUCAUUCAUUCUCUUUCCUCUUUCCUUCUUUCUUUUCCUUCUCUUUCUUUUCUUCCUUUCUUACAUCCUUCCUUCCUUUUUUCUUCCUCCCUUUACUACCUUUCCUCCUUCAUUCCUUUCUUCUUUUUCUUUUUCCUUUCUCCCUUUUCUUUCUCUUUCUUUCCUUCUUUUCUUUUUUUCUUUCUUCCUUUUUCCUUCCCCCUUUCUUCUUCCUUCCCUCCUUCCUUCCUUUCCUCCUCCCUUCCCUUCCUCCUUCCUUUUUCCAUUCUUCCUUUUCUCAUUCUUUUUUCCUUUCUUUCCUCCCUCAUCUUUCCUUCCCUCCUUUUCUCUCUUCCUCCCUCUCUCCCUCUUUCCCUUUCUUCCUUCCUUCCCUUUUUCCUUCCUUUCUUCCUUCCUUUCCUUACAUCCCUUCCCUUCCUUUCCCUUCCCCUUCCUUCCUUCCUCCCAACCUCCCUCCCUUCCUCCCAACCUCUCUCCCUUCCUUCUUUCCUUUCUUUCUUCCCUCCUUCCUUCUUUCCUUCCCUCUUUCCUUUGUCUCUCUCAAUAGCUUCAUUUCUCUGAAUGUAUUCUGUAUCAUAGACCCCCAGCACUGGGAGUGGCAGAAAAAUCAAGAGCUAGAAAGAUAGUGGGACCAAAUAUCAGCUGUACUAAAAUGGCCAUUUCCCAUGAAAGGGAUAUUAGAAUAUUGAGAAGGCAGUAGGCUUGGUGAGUGGUUGGUAUGGGGAGCAGUAAGUCUGAAGUCAGAUCCAGAAGAGUUACUUUCCUCAUAGGGUUGUUGUGAGAUGUAAGUGAGAGCAUGUAUGGAAAGGCCUUUGCAAAUCUCAGAACAGCAUGGAUGUGUCAGCUGUUAUGAUUUUGACUAUUGCCUAGUCUGAUCUUCCACCCAGUGCAAAUCUCCUCUACAGCAUCCCAGACAAGGUCACCCCAACCUUUGCUUCUUGAACACUUGCAGCCAUGGAGAACUUGCUACCUUAAUGAGGAAGCUGAUUCCAUUGUUGGGCAGCUCUGAUUUGGGGCCUGAGUUGACUAUAUAUCCCUGUGCCUUUCUCCCAAUUCAGUCAGGAAGUUGUUUCAGUGGCCCAGAUAAAAGAUGAUGAGGGGCUGGACUAAAGGAGAUGGUAAGGAUCAGAAAAAUAGAAACAGGACUUGAUGACUGUCUGGAUAUAGAGGAUAAGGGGAAAAAAGUGAGAAUGACUUCCAAGCCCUCAGAGACAUCCUGAACAUUUCCUGGGAGCAAAUUUUGAACCUUGAGGAAGAAAAGGAAGAAGAUUAGGAGGAAAGAAGCUUUGGGAUCCUGAAGGAAGUUUGGGGAGAAAUUGAGAAGCUUGAUUGUAGUUUGAAGAAUCCUUACAUUCCCCCCUGGCUGCUCCCUCUCAGCCCCAUCCCAAGCAACUGGGACUUAUGGGAUCUAUGGGAGCCCUAUGUAUCCAUGGACCUGGGUUCAAGGUGAGGGUUCUGAUAGUGGCAGCAGUUGAUAGAAUCUAGGCCUAUAAAAUGUCCAGCUGAAAAUCAAGCCAAAUCCAGGGGAUUUAGGGAUUCAGCCCAUAAUACAGUCCCCAGGGUCAUUGCUUUUGAUGGAGACACUCAGGGAAGAAGAAAUCCAAACACAAUCAAAACUAUGAGAGGUCAAGACAGGCAUUUUUUUCUGAUAUAUAUAUAUAUUUGCUUUCUUUUGAAUCCCCAGUAUUUAAUGACUGGCACAUAGUGAGUGCUUAAUAAAUGCAUAUUCAGCAACUAUUAGAGGGAUCAAUUUGACUAAACUGGAGAAAGGAACUCAAGGCUGAACAGUGAGUCAGUGGUAAAGCUAAGACAGCCAUUUCAACAAAUCCUUGCUGAUAGUUGCUAUGGCUCAUCCCAGUGUCAGGUGCCUUGGGAGAGGGCCAGCUUGGACAGUCUUGUGGGGAAGCCAGGAUAAGGGAACUCUGGCCUCCCAGCUGUUAAUCUGUUCCACUUUUCACUAGCUUUGUAGCCUCAAAAAAGAAGAUCCUGGGGUCUAGGACUCUGGGAUGUCCUACUUGAAUAUCAUCUCUGCUAAAAGGAAAUUGAGCUUCUAACCAAAAGCACCAAUGAAAAAUCUUGUCAUGAGGGCAGCUGAGAUGGCUGUGGGGAGAGAUACAGAAAUGGUAGGAGGUGGAGAUGGUGCAGGGUGGGGCCAUGGGGAGAUGGUUCUGGGCAGGCAGAUAAAACACUGAGACACACGGACACAUGGACAUCCCUAGUGUUUCAUGGUUCAGUGAAACUCCACUAUGGGAGUAGCAUAAGAAGUCUCACAACUGAUGGCCUUAGGAUCAUAGAUCUAGGAAGGAAGAAACAUCUGAAGCCAUCUAGUCCAAAGUGGCCAUUAGCUUUUUUAUCUCAUAAAAUGAAAUCAUAGGAGCAGCGAGGUGGCAAACAAACUGGAGGAUUCCUGAGUUCAAAUCCGACAUCAGAGUCUUACAAGCUGUGUGACCCUGGACGUAACCCCAUAACCCCAACGGCCUCAACCAAAAAAUAAAUAAUUGUAAAGCACUUAGCAUAGCACGGUGUGUUAUUAAUGUUAUCUAUCAUGAUAAUUAUUUUACAUAUGAGAAAAGACCUAACAAGAUUGACUUCUCCAAGAUCACACAGAUAAUUUUUAUAAAUAGCAAAUGUAAAUUGCUGCUUAUUCUCCUGCUGUAUCAUGUUUUCAACCCGCCCCACCCCAUUCUAGGCAGGACAAAAUAACCACCGCAGGAAUUAGAGAAAACUGGAGCCAGGAGGAGUUUUAAUAGGCAGAUUUUAGAGAUUAUCUGAACGUUCUCAUUUUGACAGAUGAGGAAACUGAGGCCCAGAGACUUGCUUCACCAGAUUAGAGGCUGAGUUGGGAGGGAGGAGAAGUCGGGUCCCAACCCAGGGGACAUUCCUCUAGCUAACGCAAGCUAGAAGGGGGGAUUCAGGCCAAGGAUACCUAACUCCCCAUGGGACUUCAGCUUCCGGGGGGAGUCCUCUUCCCUCUGCCGCCGUCUCCAAUCCGGAGGAAAGUUGCUGCUGGCCCCUCUAGCUGCCUGACCGCAGGUUUAUCUCCAGGAGGGUUGUCCCUAACGGGUGCAGGGUGGGAACAGGUGAGAGAAUCUCCCACAAGCCCCUCCUCCCUACAGGUGCCUCCCUUUCCUUUCCACCCGUGGAGAGCAGUGCUUUAUCAGCAAAUUGCCGGCUUGCGGGUCCGGAAAGAUAGCCGACUCGCCCGGGGCCUCGCAGGGUGUGUGUCGGACAUUCCCAGGUCUGUUUGAGCGCAGUAGGCGGCUAAUAACGAGCGGGGGGACGCCCUCCCCCGCGCCCUUGAUGCCCAGUCGGAGGCUCGUGUUCUCCCCCCAGGAGCCCUCGCGGCCUUUGAUGGAUGGGAGCCCGGAGAUCUGAGGCCCUCCUCUGCCCGGCGAGGGCUCAGCGUCAGGGGCUGAGGGCGGAAGGCGCUGUCCGUGCGGGGACAUGGGAGACAGGGAGAGGGCAGAGGAGCGCAAUGCGCGCCCGGCCAGUGUCAAGCGCCGUGCCGAGGAAGCGGAGGCUCCACCGCGGACGGGAACUGGGGCGCAGAGAGGGGCAAAGAUCGCAGCGCUGCGAGGGGCUUCGCAACAUUAAGAAAGGAAACGAGAUUCAGUCCCGGCUCCGCUAAUUCCAGUUCCUAAACCCUCCUCGCUACGUCACGUGGCGGGCGCAGAGUGGCGGGCCAGCUUCCUGCUUCCGAAACACGGGAAGGAACAAAGCGCCCGCGGGGUAGAAUUCGAACCUAGGACCCCGUAACCGAGAUUCGAAUUCCCCACCUGGCCCCGAGAGACUCGAGCGCACGGUCCUAACGUCACGCAGGCGUUGCUCGCUCCAGCCGAAGGCUUCGGGACUUCACCUCAGCGAUGCUCUCCGCUCCGGACCACCUCCUACCCCGCCGUCUCGGGGCCUAGCACCUCUGUCAGUAACGGUCUGAAUAAUAACGAAUUCAUUUGCAUAACCCUCCCCACUAGGUUUUUCACAGCUCCCCCGUUGCCGGAGGGCCCUGUCACUCACGGGCACCCGCCCUCCCGCCCCCACUAGCCCCGCCUCUCAUUCCGAACACAGCCAAACCUUUGGCUGCCCUUCGUCCCGCCCAUCCUCUCCUUCUCUCCCCAGCCUCUCUGGUCUUGCGCGUUUUGAUUGGCCCAACGGGCCGUCCGUCUUCUUUCCCCUCCCCCUCCCGCGGGCAAGUUGGGCUGCACGGCAGCGGAGGUGGGAGCCUGAGGCGGCAGCGGCGGCGGCAGCGGCCUCCCCUCCGUCCUCCCUCCCUCCCUCCUCCCGCCCGCCCAGCUCGCCUCCCGUCUGCCCUUGUGCCUCACACACCCCCCUGGCCUCCUCCGUCCCAGCGCUCGCUCCGGGAGCUGAGCCGGCCCCGCCUGAGGAGCGGCAGCGGCGGAAAGAUCCAACUUCCUUCAGUCAAAUAAGACUUUCUACUUUGGUGCUGAGAAUCCUUAAAGAUAGUGAACAGACACCUCUUCCAGAGAACUACAGGGAGGCUGAGUGGUGACAGCGAUCUGAGAGGUCCAGGCUGACAUUCCAGACUGAAAGCAGUGGAAGAGUAGCUCCAACGUGGAUCUCCUGACUCGGAAAAUCUGAGUACAGUGGGACAAGCUUUCUCAAGAGUUUGGGCCUAGAGCUGAUGGCAGACAAUGUCAACAACUAACAACAUAGCUCAGGCUCGGAAGCUGGUGGAACAGCUCCGCAUCGAGGCUGGAGUGGAGAGGAUCAAGGUCUCCAAAGCCUCCUCCGAGCUCAUGAGUUACUGUGAACAGCACGCCCGGAAUGACCCCUUGCUGGUGGGAGUGCCUGCCUCAGAGAACCCCUUCAAGGACAAAAAGCCUUGUAUCAUUCUAUAGCUCCAUCCUCCUGUGCAUACAGAGCCUCUCUCCCUGGAAGGGCCAUCCCCAUUCAAUGCCGAUCUCAAGCCAAACCUGUCCUAAGUCACAAAAACUCUCGACGGCCAAAACCAUCCCCAGCACCAUUGCGGUCACCCCCACCACCAUGAGGAGGGGCGAACACUAUGCUUUGUGUUCGGGUGGAAAAUCAAAUCCAGUGUACCCACAAGGCGGGGUCAGCCUACCAAUUUGAAGCAGUCUAAAUGUCCUUGAGAGGAAGGGGGUAGGGGCAGGGUUUUGGUUUUUUUUUUUUUUAAGAUACUCUAGUGCCAUUUAAAUAGUGGUUUCAAAAUAAGAGUGGGUGGAGAGACAGGGGGGAGACCUAGGAUGUCUGCCAGUUAUUAGAGAGCCCUCCCAUCAAGGUCAAAGUGAACCUAGAUUGUAAUUCUUCCUAGAUUGGCCUGCCAUUCAGAGACUUGGGUUAGAUUGGCAGGAGUUCAGAGUUAAAGGAAUUGCUCAUUCUUUUAAAAAAGAAACCUACUCUUUCAUUUAAAAAAGAAAAAACAUAUGGAAAUUAUGCAUUGCUAAAAGGGGACCAGGGGAGGAUAUUUUGACAACAGUAUCAUAUAAACGGAUAAUGAAGGCAUGGAUGGGGGAGGGAGAAAGGGAGGGGGAGAGGGAGGCAGAGGGCAUAGGGAAGGGAAGUCAUCCAUGGAUCAGAGCAUGCAUUUCCCAUCUCACAGAACAUAUGGCAUUUGUAUCUUCACCACCACAUUGUGGGCAGCACUCUCUGUAUAGCUCGCCAGCCAUUAAGGGAAUUAGUUGACAGUGGCUUGAACUGGGGAGUGCCCAUCUCCUUGCAUUGCCAAUUUGGGAAGGGUGGGGGGUGGGGGAGGGGUAUUGGGGGGAAGCAUGAAGUAUAGAUGUGGGUAUUUGAAAUCUUUGAUUCCAUCCUAGCUCUUUAAUUUCUGUGUAUUGUUGCCUGAGAGGAGGGCUCAGGAUGAAUCCUUUGGUCUUGUCUUCUGAGAAUUGGGGGUGGGAGUGGGGUCAGAAUUGCUUUUUGCUUCUGAGGAUAAGGGCAUUUGAAAGUUAUUCAUUUGUUGUUGUUAUUGGGUUUUUUUUUAAUUAACUGUAUAGCUUAAUCCUUUUUUUUAAACUCCUGCCCACUUAAGAGAUGAUUCUUUGUCAAAGACACUAAAAUAAGUGCCCCCCAAGGUUCCUCGGUUUCCUUUCUCCAGGAACAAAAUGUGCCCACCUACCCCUUUAAAUCCCAGAAAGAUGGAGCUUAAGUCAAUUCAGUUCAAUCCUACAGCCAAUUAUUAAAUACUACAUGCCAGCUCUUGUACUAAAUGCCAGGUAGAGUUUAAGGCACACACUAAAAUAAAAAGAAAUUGACCCUGUCCUCCUGAAGUUUAAAAUCCUAUAGAGGAGGCAAAACUCUUGCACAAAUAACAGCAACAUAAAUUGGAAUAAAAGAAGCCAAAGGAGACGUUCCUCUCCGGUGCUGGAGUAUCUCAGAGGAUGUUGAGGGAUAGUAAAUGCUGAAUUUUCUUCUGUGGGAAGUCAGGAAAAGCUUCAGGAGGCAGGAGGUUCUGCCUGAGUCAGGCUUUAAAGAAAAGACAGAGGGAUGAUGAAAUAUUGUUAGAGCUAGAAUGCUGAGCUUCCCUGACCCUCGUGGCCAAUGAAGAGAAAUUCUCUUCCUCCUCACUAAGAAUGACCCAACAGGCUAGAAAUACCCAGUGGGGCAACCCCCUUUUACCUUAUUUGCUGCUAUUACUGGCAGCCUAUAACAAAGCAGAGAAAGUCCCUCCUCUGCUGUAUCAUAGAAUUUGGAGUUGAGACUUUAAAGAUAAACUAGUCCAAUUGUCCCAUUUUCAAUUGAGGUCUCCAGAAUCAAGUGACUUUCUACAAGGUCACACAAUGACAGAGCUGGUAUUGAAACCCCGCUUAAGGUUUAUUGUCCACAGUAGUCCUCUGGGAGUUGCAUGUAAACUGAGGGCCUGGGGAAGAAUAGAGUUCAGGGAAGCCUCUCCCUCCCCAUUCAGCAACCAAAUCUCUUUGCUCAGUAGCAAGGCCAUGGCCUCUUAGCCAGACAAAAGCCAGAUUCUAGAUGACUGAAUUCAUAGUAUCAGAUAGAUACUAAGAGACCUUAGAGAUCUUAUUCCUCCAAGUGAUUCCCCUGUCCACAAAACUUAUUACCAAGGGACCUUGACCUUAUCUUGAAACCUAUAAGUAAAAGCAGUGACUCGUCCUCUUUUCCUCACUCAAGUUCCUUCCUCCUGAGCUUUGAUGUUCUAAAGAUGCAGAAUUUGGAGCCAAGAUAGAUUUUAGGAUUUGCUGCUGGAAGGGACCUCCAGAUCAUCUAAUCCAUGUCACAAAAGUUAAAAAUGCGGCUCAGAGAGAUUAAGGAAGUUAAUCCAGUGUCACACAUGUCUGGGAAGUGGCAAAGCCAAGGUUUCAACCCAAGUCUUCUGACUACAAAUUUUCACUGCCUGUGAAAGAGAUUUUACGAAUUUACAGAAAAGCUUGGGUUAAGGCUAAUCUAGUCCAAUCCCCUCAUUUUAUAGAAGAAAUUUGAGGUGGGGAAGGGACUUGCACAAGGUCAUUAAGUGGCAGAACCAAAACUUUAGAAAUCUGCUCUUUCUACAUUGUUAAGGCAAAGAACCUUCCCACUGGGAUAAUUGGGCCAAAUUCCCAGAUGAAUUUACCUAGAACAGCCCUAGGAAUCACGUAGCAAAGAGUACCCAGCUGUCCAGCAGCAUGAUUUCCAAGGGACAACAUUGAGCUGGGAUUUGGGAGAGAAAAUUACAAUCCUAGGCCCCAUUUACUUACUAGCUAGAACAGCCAUUGUGUUGAGUGGAGGGUACCACAAUUUCCCUACCCUUUAUCUGUGAGAUAAAUAAGUGUGACUAGUGCUAACCGGCUUUGGACUCUUGUCCACCCUCCGCUUGAGUGUUCUGGCAGUCCUCUCAGCCAGAGCACCAAACACACCUUCUCCUUGGCCCCUUCCUGCUUUAAGAAAGGGAAAAUCCAAAGGAUCCCUGCUUCAUUCCACUUCAGCUUCAUCAUAGGAUCUCAAGUUGAAAAGGACCCUAAUGUUCAUUGAAUCUAAACCUUUCAUGUUAUUUAGAUAAGGAAACUGCAGUCCAGUGAAAAAGAUGAUUUGCCCAAGAUUAUUGAGAGUCUGGAUUCAGACCAGUCCUCUGAUGUUAAAUCUAAGGUUUUUAAGAACCUUAAGGUGUCUGGGUCCCAGUGGUCCCAAGGACCAUUUUUAGGGAUAUUUAAAAGACUUAAUGGUGGCAAAUACUGCAUGCUCUUUUAACUGCCAGCUGAGUGUGAGACUAUUUACAAGAUGACUCACCUUCCCCUCCGUUACUAGUUUAGGAACUUCCCAGAUCAUAUCCUUCAGGCCACAAACCCGUCCUUAGGGCCCCCUCAAGGUCUAGCCUUUAAGAGUGCCAGAACACAGGCCAAGGAUAAGGAAAAGAUGACUGAAGAAAAAGGGUAAGUCAAGUCCUCCAGGAUCUACAGCUGGAGAGGGGACAUUUGUCAGAAAUACAGCUUGUGAAGACCCCCAUCUCCCCAUAUAUUCCAAAGAUGGCUCCGUAGAUCUGUCUUUAAUUCCUCCAUCUUAGUAGCACUGUGAAACUUUAGAAAUAAAAAAAUGAGACUUCCCCUCUGUCUGGCCUUGAAAAAAGCAAAAUAAGUGCUGAGUAUGUUUCUCUGGUAGAAACUUUAAAUAUCAUCAAAUCCAAACCCUCUUGUUUUGCUUGAAGGGAAAUUGAGGCCUGAAAAAGGAAUAUAAUUUGUCCAAGAUCUCACAAGCAGUUAGUGGCAAAUCUAAAACUAGGACCUAGAGGGUCAGGCUCUUUCAGCAAAAGUCCUAGAUCACUUGCACCCUCCUCCCUGAAGCACUGGCUCAUCCCAGAUAUUCAGCUCUGCUAUGGACCUGGCUGGGCAUUUACAUACAGGUUUCUGGGCCAUAGGUGAGACCUUCUCUCUAGAUCCUUUUGAUUUCUCAGUAUUGCAGUAGAUCUUGUUUACCUUCCUCCAGAAAAUACAUUUUGUUUUGCCAACUCUCAGGGCACUGCCCCCACUUUUUCUCCUGCCCAGGAGUGGGCAGCUGUGCCAAAUCUGAAAGGGAAUCCCUUCAUAGCAGAGCCCUGGCUAAUAGCUGACCUCUGUCCAAGUGCCAGUGACAUCAUCCUGAUUAUCCAGGAGAUGAAACCUAACCAGUUAAUUUACAAUGAGGGGGUUGGACUAGAUAAUCUAAGGGCCCUUCCAGCUCUUUUAUAAUCUUAGAAUGCAAUUCUGAGGGACCUUGGCAGAAAAAAAAUAUAUAUAUCCAAAAGUUGUCAUGAGCCAGGCUUUAGCCUCAAGAAAUUGUGAUAGCUUAUGGACACCAUUCAGUUCAAAUCUAGCUUCUCUUGGGCUCCCACAUUCCUGACCUGCCCCUAUUUGUGCUCUGCCUAUUUUGCUCCAAUAUUCCUAGAUAUAGAGGAGAAAGCAGGUCAGGCUUUGGAGAAGGACAGAGUCCGACAGCCUCCCUGGGAACUUUUGGCAAGUGAAUGCCAGCCACCCCACUAAAAAUAAAGGACUCAAUUUCCCUAAGAUGAGUUUAUUUCUCCUAGAGAAGAAAUUAGUCUCAUGAUGACACUAGGCAGAGUACAGAGGUAGCCUAGGUAUCCAUGGAGACCCGGUUUCUAUUCUCCAAAUAGCCAAAUACCAAUAUUUAGAUGCCAAUAUUAAAACAACCAAUUAAGCUCCUGUAGUAUACAGAGUGUUGUGUUCUAGACUGGAAGCACAAUUUGGAUGAGAUGUAGUCACUGUCCUUGCAGAGUGAGUAUUUGUCUGCUUUUAUGAGUUCUUCUAGAGGAGUAAUCAGAGCUGGGAAGACUAAGCAGUUUUUGUCUCUGACAAACCUGCUCCACACUCUUAGCUUCACAUCCUACUUUCUCCACUGACUUUUCCUUCCCUGGCUUCUUGGAUGCUGCCCUAUGAGUCUGCAGCUGCCCUUUCCCACCUCUCAUCCAGGUCAGAAAUCCUCCUUAGAGAUUGCUUGCUCAGCCUCUCCAUAACUAGAUGAUGAAAUGGGAUCCCAAAGUCAGUGGGAGAACUAAGACUCCCUCAUGGGUCUCCAGCCUCUCAGCCCAUGAUAGGGGGCACUUCAUAGUAUUUUGUUACCCAUCUUCUCCUCCAGUAACCCUUCCCUCUUUGUUAGCUGCUUCUCCCUCAUCCCCUGUGCCCACUAUCAGGCCUGGGGUGGGGAGAGGCGAGUUGAGGAAAGUCAGGGAGUCAUGGCGCCUGUGCUCAAACCUGGAGGAGACAAGAAGGUGGUCACUCACUUUCUACAAAGAAAAAUCGUCGAUUUUUAUUCUUCUCUUAACAAUGUUCAUACAGUAGAUGAGAUGUUUUUGUUUAGGAUAAACAUAAAUACAAAUAACAGUUACUGCUUGUACUUUUCUGUCUGUGCAUUUGCCAAAAAGAAAAAUACUUUCUUUAGGACUUUUAAGUGCUCUCUACAAGGCAAGGAGGUAGCUUCUCUCCUGCUUCCAGUGGCAGUGGCAGCAGGUGGCCUAGGCCAAGCCCGAACCUUGGGACUAUUUGAGAGCAGCCAGCCAGCUUCUGAAGGUGUUAGCAAGAAUUGGGAAAAAGGAACUGAAAGCAGGGCAUGGAAAUGGGAAAUGGAAUUUCCAUUGCAUCUGCAAAGCCAUUCACUUUUUUCCGUGGCUAGAGAGGAUGGAGGGGCCCUGGAGCACUAGGAUUUCCACCUGCCCUGGCCUAAACAGGCUCUCACCCAGACCCACCUGGGAACCUGCAGAAAGGUUAAUCCCAUGUGAUUGUAGGGUGAUGUAAUCUCUCCUCCUCAAGAUGGCCUGGCCUAGAGUGAGAUUGCCGCCAACUCCCCUCCCCCAACCAGCAACCCCUGAGCCGAAGAAUGCCCCUGGGUCAUGACCUUUGACUCCAGGGAUGGAAGCUUCUGAGGCCUGCUCUGCAGCAGAAGGGGCUGCCUUUUGUCCUUCAGUCCCAAAGUCCUCAGAAAUGGGGCCUCCAGGCAACUCCUCCAUCUCCUUCACAGCCUAAUUCCCCGGGCCCUUGCCUUCUGGAAGGCCAGACUGGCCGAGCUCAGCCCCUGAGGAGUUUCCAAACUAGGUAAACACACCGUGGCUCCCCCUCAAGGAGCACUUGGCCAGGAAGUGGACAGAGCAUUUAACUCCCUGAGAAGAUGUGUGGAACAUUUUCCUUUCUUCUUUCUUUGCCAACUGAUACCAUUGCCAAACACCCAUGGAGUUUAAGGGAGACGGUUUCAGGAAGUGUUCUCGAGGGCUAGCAAGGCGCCCAGCUGCCCUGGGAACACGCCGAGUUAGAGGGGGACUCCAGGUGUGCCAUCAGCUACUCUCGCACAGUGUUGACUGUUUUGUGGAACUGUUGUUACAAAGUGAAUUGAUACCACAAUAAAAACAAAAAAAGGCUUACUUUUCACUUUCCUGUAUUUUCUUUCAUGUUGUUUUUUAAGUGGAGGAGGCUUUAGGGGAACCAGCAGCCUGGGGUCCACACUACAGCACACAGGGACAUCGGCACCAAAAGCAGCCCCCCCUUACUCUUCAAGGCAAGGCACACUGUCAUCUUACAGAUGG
This 11793-nucleotide long non-coding RNA is filed under the name Sarcophilus harrisii (Tasmanian devil). RNAcentral describes it as "lncRNA (ENSSHAG00000030941.1)". Lineage: Eukaryota; Metazoa; Chordata; Mammalia; Dasyuromorphia; Dasyuridae. The record is from RNAcentral.